AUUGAACGCUGGCGGAAUGCUUUACACAUGCAAGUCGAACGGCAGCACGGACUUCGGUCUGGUGGCGAGUGGCGAACGGGUGAGUAAUGUAUCGGAACGUGCCCAGUCGUGGGGGAUAACGUAGUGAAAAUUACGCUAAUACCGCAUACGACCUAUGGAUGAAAGCGGGGGAUCGCAAGACCUCGCGCGAUUGGAGCGGCCGAUAUCAGAUUAGGUAGUUGGUGGGGUAAAGGCCCACCAAGCCAACGAUCUGUAGCUGGUCUGAGAGGACGACCAGCCACACUGGAACUGAGACACGGUCCAGACGCCUACGGGAGGGAGCAGUGGGGAAUUUUGGACAAUGGGCGAAAGCCUGAUCCAGCCAUUCCGCGUGCAGGAUGAAGGCCCUCGGGUUGUAAACUGCUUUUGUACAGAACGAAAAGGUUUCUACUAAUACUAGGAGCUCAUGACGGUACUGUAAGAAUAAGCACCGGCUAACUACGUGCCAGCAGCCGCAGUAA
This 500-nucleotide ribosomal RNA is filed under the name uncultured bacterium. RNAcentral describes it as "partial 16S ribosomal RNA". It matches the Rfam family "Bacterial small subunit ribosomal RNA", at positions 30 to 523 of the family's 1533-position model. The record is from RNAcentral.